UCAUUCAUGGCCCAAUUGGUUAGAGCACUCAUUUUAAAAGUGGAAGGUUUUAAGUUCAAACCUUAAUGAAUUCCAUGAU
Non-coding RNA from Thalictrum thalictroides, 79 nucleotides. Lineage: Eukaryota; Viridiplantae; Streptophyta; Magnoliopsida; Ranunculales; Ranunculaceae. The record is from the annotation of a GenBank genome assembly.